GUGAAACUGCGAAUGGCUCAUUAAAUCAGUUAUCGUUUAUUUGAUAGUACCUUACUACUUGGAUAACCGUGGUAAUUCUAGAGCUAAUACAUGCUAAAAAUCCCGACUUUUUGGAAGGGAUGUAUUUAUUAGAUAAAAGACCAAUGCUCUUCGGAGCUCUUUGGUGAUUCAUGAUAACUUUUCGAAUCGCAUGGCCUCGAGCCGGCGAUGGUUCAUUCAAAUUUCUGCCCUAUCAACUUUCGAUGGUAGGAUAGUGGCCUACCAUGGUUUCAACGGGUAACGGGGAAUAAGGGUUCUAUUCCGGAGAGGGAGCCUGAGAAACGGCUACCACAUCCAAGGAAGGCAGCAGGCACGCAAAUUACCCAAUCCCGACACGGGGAGGUAGUGACAAUAAAUAACAUGGCAGGGCUAUUAUAGUCUUGUUAUUGGAAUGAGUACAAUUUAAAUACCUUAACGAGGAACAAUUGGAGGGCAAGUCUGGUGCCAGCAGCCGCGGUAAUUCCAGCUCCAAUAGCGUAUAUUAAAGUUGUUGCAGUUAAAAAGCUCGUAGUUGAACCUUGGGCUUGGUCAGCCGGUCCGCCUCAUUGGUGUGCACUGAUCUGACCGAGCCUUUCCUUCUGGGUAACCAUAGUGCUUUUUAUUAAGUGCUAUGGGGAACCAGGACUUUUACUUUGAAAAAAUUAGAGUGUUCAAAGCAGGCAUACGCUCGAAUAUAUUAGCAUGGAAUAAUAGAAUAGGACGUACGGUUCUAUUUUGUUGGUUCUCUAGGACCGUCGUAAUGAUUAAUAGGGACAGUCGGGGGCAUCAGUAUUCAAUUGUCAGAGGUGAAAUUCUUGGAUUUAUUGAAGACUAACUACUGCGAAAGCAUUUGCCAAGGAUGUUUUCAUUAAUCAAGAACGAAAGUUAGGGGAUCGAAGAUGAUCAGAUACCGUCGUAGUCUUAACCAUAAACUAUGCCGACUAGGGAUCGGGCGGUGUUCUUUUUGUGACCCGCUCGGCACCUUACGAGAA
RNAcentral lists this ribosomal RNA (1010 nucleotides) under Lipomyces japonicus. Its description in RNAcentral is "SSU rRNA". It matches the Rfam family "Eukaryotic small subunit ribosomal RNA", at positions 81 to 1096 of the family's 1831-position model. The record is from RNAcentral. Lineage: Eukaryota; Fungi; Ascomycota; Lipomycetes; Lipomycetales; Lipomycetaceae.